CCUACGGGUGGCAGCAGUGGGGGAUAUUGGGCAAUGGGCGCAAGCCUGACCCAGCAACGCCGCGUGAAGGAAGAAGCCUUUCGGGUUGUAAACUUCUUUUCUGAGGGACGAAGAAAGUGACGGUACCUCAAGAAUACGCCACGGCUAACUACGUGCCAGCAGCCGCGGUAAUACGUAGGUGGCAAGCGUUAUCCGGAUUUAUUGGGUGUAAAGGGCGUGUAGGCGGGAAAGCAAGUCAGAUGUGAAAACUCAGGGCUCAACCCCGAGCCUGCAUUUGAAACUGUUUUUCUUGAGUGCUGGAGAGGCAAGCGGAAUUCCGUGUGUAGCGGUGAAAUGCGUAGAUAUUAGGAGGAACACCAGUGGCGAAGGCGGUCUGCUGGACAGCAACUGACGGUGAGGCGCGAAAGUGUGGGUAUCAAACAGGAUUAGAUACCCGGGUAGUC
Molecule: ribosomal RNA, 443 nt
Filed under: uncultured bacterium
Lineage: Bacteria
Description: partial 16S ribosomal RNA
Rfam family: Bacterial small subunit ribosomal RNA
Source: RNAcentral